ACGCUGGCGGCGUGCUUAACACAUGCAAGUCGAACGAAAAAGAGGGAAAGAGCUUGCUCUUUCCGGAAUUGAGUGGCAAACGGGUGAGUAACACGUAAACAACCUGCCUUCAGGAUGGGGACAACAGACGGAAACGACUGCUAAUACCGAAUACGCUUGGGAGACCGCAUGAUCUACCAAGAAAAGGUGGCCUCUACCUGUAAGCUAUCGCCUGAAGAGGGGUUUGCGUCUGAUUAGCUGGUUGGAGGGGUAACGGCCCUCCAAGGCGACGAUCAGUAGCCGGUCUGAGAGGAUGAACGGCCACACUGGAACUGAGACACGGUCCAGACUCCUACGGGAGGCAGCAGUGGGGAAUCUUCCGCAAUGGGCGAAAGCCUGACGGAGCAACGCCGCGUGAGUGAUGACGGCCUUCGGGUUGUAAAACUCUGUGAUCCGGGACGAAAAGGCAGAGUGCGAAGAACAAACUGCAUUGACGGUACCGGAAAAGCAAGCCACGGCUAACUACGUG
RNAcentral lists this ribosomal RNA (508 nucleotides) under uncultured bacterium. RNAcentral describes it as "bacterial SSU rRNA". It matches the Rfam family "Bacterial small subunit ribosomal RNA", at positions 33 to 507 of the family's 1533-position model. The record is from RNAcentral.